Molecule: transfer RNA, 59 nt
Filed under: Formosa sp. Hel3_A1_48
Lineage: Bacteria; Pseudomonadati; Bacteroidota; Flavobacteriia; Flavobacteriales; Flavobacteriaceae
Rfam family: tRNA
About the family: Transfer RNA (tRNA) molecules are approximately 80 nucleotides in length. Their secondary structure includes four short double-helical elements and three loops (D, anti-codon, and T loops). Further hydrogen bonds mediate the characteristic L-shaped molecular structure. tRNAs have two regions of fundamental functional importance: the anti-codon, which is responsible for specific mRNA codon recognition, and the 3' end, to which the tRNAs corresponding amino acid is attached (by aminoacyl-tRNA synthetases). tRNAs cope with the degeneracy of the genetic code in two manners: having more than one tRNA (with a specific anti-codon) for a particular amino acid; and 'wobble' base-pairing, i.e. permitting non-standard base-pairing at the 3rd anti-codon position.
Source: Rfam by way of RNAcentral
UAGCUCAGUUGGUUAGAGCAUCUGACUGUUAAUCAGAGGGUCCUUGGUUCGAGCCCAAG